Molecule: long non-coding RNA, 1923 nt
Organism: Musca domestica (house fly)
Lineage: Eukaryota; Metazoa; Arthropoda; Insecta; Diptera; Muscidae
Exons: 2
Source: RefSeq, a predicted model, not a curated record
UCUAUAGGUAAACCACACCAACACAAAACAAAUGAUACUGCAACAGACGUAAAUAAUAACAGCAUCAGCCUAAUCGGUAAGUGUCAAUGCAACGCAACGGUAUCAGACAAAACGCUAACUCUACAAUGCUACGUCACGGAAAUCGAUAACUUAAAUAUUAUGGGUAUCGACUGGAUACAAAGUUUUAACAUUUGGGACAAACCAAUUUCGGCUUGGUGUCGCCAAAUAUCAAACGAUGAAUACAUAUCUAACCUGAGAAGCAAGUACAAACCUGUUUUCGAUAACAGCAGUCUGGGCCUCUGUACAAAAAUCAAAGUGCAUAUUAAACUUCUUCCAGACGCAAAAGAAACAUUCAUUGCAAAACGUCCAGUACCAUACGCCGUGAGAACAGACAUAGAAACAGAGCUAGAUAGACUUGAAAAAGAAAACAUCGUCACACCAGUCAAUUCUUCACAAAUUGCAGCGUCAAUAGUCAAAAUUCAAGAUUAAAAUUCAUCAAAUAUCUAGGUCAAUUCAUCGACAAAAACGGCAUACGCCCUGAUCUAGACAAAAUUCUUGCAAUACAGAAUCUCAAGGUCCCUGAAAACAUUUCUGAAGUACUAGGCUCCAUAAACCGCUAUGGAAAGUAUGUCUACAAUAUGAGAAAUAUCCGAAAACCACUAGAUGAUCUCUUAAAAAACGAUCACAAAUUCCUUUGGACCAAAGAAUGUCAACAAUCUCUCGACGAAUGCAAACGCUUUCUAAAAUCGGAUUUACUACUAACUCAUUACAACCCAUCACUGCCAAUUCACAUUGCAGCGGACGCAUCAUCACAUGGCAUCGGAGCGGUAAUAUACCAUACUUACCCAGACAACAGUGCCAAAGCCAUUCAUCACGUCUCAAGAUCACUUACUCCAACGGAAAGAAAUUACAGUUAAUCGAAAAAGAAGGACUAGCACUAGUUUUCGCCGUACAACGUUUCCACAAAAUGAUUUUCGGAAGAAAAUUCACCCUACAUACCGACCAUAAACCAUUGCUCACAAUAUUUGAUUCCAAAAAAGGUAUUCCGGUCUAUACUGCAAACAGGUUACACCUUUCGAUAUAAAAUAUACCAAUACUAAGGAUUUUGGAUACGCAGGCGUUGUCAAGAUUGAUAAACGCACAUGAAAAACCAUCAGAUGAGUACAUCAUAGCUUCCAUCAAACUAGAAAAAGAUGAUAUCGCAGACGCCGUAUCAACACUCCCAGUUAGUUUCAAAAUGAUACAAAUUGCUACCAAAAACCAAAAUCCAACCUUACAAACAGUUUCAAACUACGUAUACAACGGCUGGUCAGAAAACAAAAAUAACAUAGAUUUAUCAAUUGUUCCAUACUUCAGCAGGCAAGAUUCAAUAUCAAUAACAGAUGAUUGUCUUAUGUUCAAUACGCGCAUAAUAGUAUCCGAAUGCUACAGAAAACAAAUUCUCAAACAACUGCAUCGCGGAUACAAAGGAGCAGAAAGAAGCAAAUAUAUCGCACGCAGUGAAUAAUCGACAAAUUCUCGUGAGAUGUCACGCAGAUCAACUCAGACUAAGAGAAGCCGAUCACGACGUUGUACCUGCAAAGCAAAAUGAUAAUCUUCCUCUUCAAAUCCUACUAGAAGAUUUCAACAUUAGUCCACCAACGGAAGAAGAUUUUACACCUCCACCAUCAUCACCGGUUAUGCUUCCACAACGCAUCACUUCUCGAAGACAUCCUGUACAGCCAGCAUCAUUGUUAUUAUGAAGGCACACAUACACACACACUACCCUCAGCUACACUCAGUCUCUUUCAGUCAUUCAGACAACUCAGUCACUACACAACACAAUUGUCUUACACUCCAAGUAGUAACGCGCUACAUCAUAUUUGUAUCGUAUUUUAGUUGCAGAAAUAACCAGAAUAAAUCUUGCUCAAGUUUGUUAAUUUA